AGAAUCAACGCUGGCGGCGUGCCUAACACAUGCAAGUCGAACGAGAAAGUGGAGCAAUCCAUGAGUAAAGUGGCGACCGGGUGAGUAACACGUGACUAACCUACCUUCGAGUGGGGGAUAACCUCGGGAAAACCGAGGCUAAUACCGCAUAACAUCGCAAGAUCAAAGCAGCAAUGCGCUGGAAGAGGGGGUCGCGGCUGAUUAGCUAGUUGGCGGGGUAAUGGCCCACCAAGGCUUUGAUCGGUA
This 246-nucleotide ribosomal RNA is filed under the name uncultured bacterium. RNAcentral's name for it is "partial small subunit ribosomal RNA". It matches the Rfam family "Bacterial small subunit ribosomal RNA", at positions 26 to 285 of the family's 1533-position model. The record is from RNAcentral.